This 385-nucleotide ribosomal RNA is filed under the name uncultured eukaryote. Its description in RNAcentral is "SSU rRNA". It matches the Rfam family "Eukaryotic small subunit ribosomal RNA", at positions 587 to 972 of the family's 1831-position model. The record is from RNAcentral.
AGCUCCAGCAGCGUAUAUUAAAGUUGUUGCAGUUAAAAAGCUCGUAGUUGGAUCUCGGGCCGCCGGCGGCGGUGCGGAUCUACGUCCGUCGACUGCCGUCGGCGCCUAACCGGCGGGACGCAGCGGGUGCCCUUAGCUGGGUCGCCCGCGGCACCCGCCCGAUUUACUUUGGAAAAAUUAGAGUGUUCAAAGCAGGCGCCAGUGCCUGAAUAACGUUGCAUGGAAUAAUGGAAUAGGACCACGGAUCCUAUUUUGUUGGUUGACGGAGAACGUGGUAAUGAUUAACAGGGACUGCCGGGGGCAUUCGUACUGCGGCGCGAGAGGUGAAAUUCUAAGACCGUCGCAAGACGAACUACUGCGAAAGCAUUUGCCAAGAAUGUUUUCA